Molecule: long non-coding RNA, 506 nt
Filed under: Eptatretus burgeri (inshore hagfish)
Lineage: Eukaryota; Metazoa; Chordata; Myxini; Myxiniformes; Myxinidae
Description: lncRNA (ENSEBUG00000017156.1)
Source: RNAcentral
GCCACUGAACAAUGAGGUGUUGUUGGUUCACGUAAAGCUUGUUUACAUUCCAGAAUUUUUCCCAUUUGGUGAUGUCAAGACGGAAGGAGGCUUUGAAAAAAAAGGCCCUUCCAAACAUCGACAUGAGAAUCAAAGGAAAGGCUUUAAACAUUGAUGAGGACAUCAAGGAAAACCAUGUCAAGCUGGAAACGUACAUGAAGCAGUUGAAUGAGAUAUUAAAAUCUCAUGCCAAAAGGUCCACCCAAAGUUUAUUCAAUGCUGACAAAAAGCUGGCAAUGGCUGCAAUCAACCGUGGAAGCACAGAGGAUGAAUUGUCUGAUUACAAAGAGGACACAACGAUCAAAGUUCCAGACCCGGUGGAAGUAACCUGUUUGGAGAAUGCUGAGCCAGAAGAGGAUAAAACGAUCAGAGUUCCAGACCUGGUGGAAGUCACCUGUUUGAAGAGUGCUGAGCCAGAAGGUUUGUGGUCAAAAGGAAAACUUUUUGUUUCCUUUCUGUUUCCCCAA